UGUGUACAACAGAUGACUUAAUGAAACGCUUCCCAGGUACGUUGCGGUGAUGUAUUUUCUCUCCAGUGUGAAUCCUCUCAUGUUUUUUCAGAUCUCUUGUCUGACUGAAUCUCUUGACACAGUGUGAACACUUGUAAGGUUUCUCUCCAGUGUGGAUCCUCUCAUGUGUUUUCAGAUUUGAUGAAUUACUGAAUCUCUUGACACAGUGUGAACACUUGUAAGGUUUCUCUCCAGUGUGAAUCCUCUCAUGUCUUUUCAGAGUUGAUGAAUCACUGCAUUUCUUGUCACAGUGUGAACACUUGUAAGGUUUCUCUCCAGUGUGGAUCCUCUCAUGUGUUUUCAGUUGUGAUAAAUGACUGAAUCUCUUGUCACAGUGUGAACACUUGUAAGGUUUAUCUCCAGUGUGAAUCCUCUCAUGUGUUUUCA
Molecule: long non-coding RNA, 426 nt
Organism: Carassius gibelio (silver crucian carp)
Lineage: Eukaryota; Metazoa; Chordata; Actinopteri; Cypriniformes; Cyprinidae
Exons: 3
Source: RefSeq, a predicted model, not a curated record